CGCGUACGUGGCGUUGAGGGUCGGGUCGACUUCGCCAGAUACGUUAUUGAAAUUGUAGAGGCGGUCCAUGAAAGCAGCGUAUUGUGCCCUUCCAAAUGUGUGAACACCUGAGAAGUAUCCGGAAUGAAAAAUCAUAUGUAAAUCAAAUU
Molecule: long non-coding RNA, 149 nt
Organism: Hibiscus syriacus
Lineage: Eukaryota; Viridiplantae; Streptophyta; Magnoliopsida; Malvales; Malvaceae
Exons: 3
Source: RefSeq, a predicted model, not a curated record